AUCUAUGGCCAUAACACCCUGAACACAGCAGAAAUUGCCAGAUCUCAGGAGCUCAUCAGGGUCAAACAUGGUUAGUCCUCAGAUGGGGAACUCCCAGGGAAUACCAGGUGCUGUAGGCU
Ribosomal RNA from Dasypus novemcinctus (nine-banded armadillo), 119 nucleotides. Lineage: Eukaryota; Metazoa; Chordata; Mammalia; Cingulata; Dasypodidae. The record is from Ensembl.